AGAGUUUGAUCCUGGCUCAGGACGAACGCUGGCGGCGUGCCUAAUACAUGCAAGUAGAACGCUGAAGGAGGAGCUUGCUUCUCUGGAUGAGUUGCGAACGGGUGAGUAACGCGUAGGUAACCUGCCUGGUAGCGGGGGAUAACUAUUGGAAACGAUAGCUAAUACCGCAUAAGAGUAGAUGUUGCAUGACAUUUGCUUAAAAGGUGCAAUUGCAUCACUACCAGAUGGACCUGCGUUGUAUUAGCUAGUUGGUGAGGUAACGGCUCACCAAGGCGACGAUACAUAGCCGACCUGAGAGGGUGAUCGGCCACACUGGGACUGAGACACGGCCCAGACUCCUACGGGAGGCAGCAGUAGGGAAUCUUCGGCAAUGGACGGAAGUCUGACCGAGCAACGCCGCGUGAGUGAAGAAGGUUUUCGGAUCGUAAAGCUCUGUUGUAAGAGAAGAACGAGUGUGAGAGUGGAAAGUUCACACUGUGACGGUAUCUUACCAGAAAGGGACGG
RNAcentral lists this ribosomal RNA (504 nucleotides) under Streptococcus sp. oral clone BP2-45. Its description in RNAcentral is "bacterial SSU rRNA". It matches the Rfam family "Bacterial small subunit ribosomal RNA", at positions 8 to 496 of the family's 1533-position model. The record is from RNAcentral. Lineage: Bacteria; Bacillati; Bacillota; Bacilli; Lactobacillales; Streptococcaceae.